Molecule: long non-coding RNA, 4795 nt
Organism: Mesocricetus auratus (golden hamster)
Lineage: Eukaryota; Metazoa; Chordata; Mammalia; Rodentia; Cricetidae
Exons: 3
Source: RefSeq, a predicted model, not a curated record
AAUCCUGUGUGUUGUUCUGUGGCGAGGGGUUGGGACGGUUCCGUGAAGACCAAUAAAAAGACGGCGUGGUCAGCUGCUGGGGAGCGGAGCCGACCAGGCAAACGCGAAAGACGGAGCCCAGGACGACCCUGAGGAUUUAAGUGUUCUCUCGCCGAGGCCCCACAUAAUUUCUUAUCCUUCACCGCCACGAAAAUUAUAGAGGACAGAAUCCGGGACAACUGUCGGCAGGUUCCGGUUGUUCUAUGUAAAGCUCGAGCGCAUCUGAAGGCCAAAUAAUUAAAGCUGGAUUUACCGUGAGUUUGUUUUGCUGCUUUCAUUGAAGAGAACUUUCUGUUGGCUACCUCUGCUUCUUUUCCGGUGUGGGGAGAACAGACUCCUACUUUUAAUUUUUAACGGACUACUAUUUCAGCAGCAGUGGUGACGCUUGAGAACACCUCUUAGAAAUUACCACAAAGCAGUGAGGCUGGGGGAGGGGCACAUGUGAAGAUGCGAGAGUGUCUCACGCGGUAGCUACAUGGCAACACCUGAUGCUAUUUCUCUACUUUGUGUGUGUUUGGAAUCAUUGUUGGUGAAAUGUUUAUAAACAUUAAGUGCCAAGUCAACUGCGAGUGGUGGCAACCACGUAAUCCGCAGUUCUUGGGAGGUGGAGAAAGGAAGGUAAGUUCCAGACCAGCCUGGGCUACAAGACAGACUCUUUUGAAAAUUAACACUUUAAAAAUUUGACUAUAGUAGAGGAUCGUGAAGAAUCAUUGACUCGCCAAUGAGUGGACAUGCAAAAUCGCGGUUCAACGCAUUAUUUUAACACUCCUCAUGAUCCGACCUGAAUUUCGUGAAGAGAAACUUCUUCUGGGAACUCGAAGAAUACUUUAUUGUUUGGUUUUUGGAACAGCACUUGGGAGUUGUUGAUUAUGUUUGCUUCACCAACGUUUAUAAUUGUAUAUAUUCACAUGACAUUGAUUGUCACAGGGUUCUUCAAUUUUCUUAAAAAUCUGGGGAACAUGGUGGUGGUGAAGUUGUUCCAAAAGAGCACUCCUUCGAGCCGGAUUCGAACCAGCGACCUAAGGAUUACUAAGUCAACCUACAGUCCUCCGCUCUACCAACUGAGCUAUCGAAGGAAGAUAACAACAGUCCCUUUAAGGUUUAUAAAGUAGUUGGUGGAUUUCUUGUAAUUCCUCUGAUUCAUUUUAAAAUAGAUGAUAAGGAAAUGUUUUUGAGGUACUAGGAUAUUUUAAGAGUAAAUUAGCUAGUGAUCACACAACAGGUUUGAGGUGUGUGCUUUUUAAUGUGUGUUUCACAUAGAUUUCCCCCAAAAAUGCUCCUUGAAAUGUUCAUGCCCUGAAUCCUUACAGACCAGAGCAUCCAUCCCCUUUGAUGGACGCUCCUCGUUGAACCCUCCAGUCUCCUUAGCACCUCCUUUCUUUAUUAAAAGUGAGAGAAAAGGUCAAUGAUAGCAGAGACGUCUGGAGCACUGGUGCCCAUUUCACCAGAGAAGCGCGUGAUUCUCCUUCUGGACAAGUGCAUGAGAUGCCUUUAACGUGGAUCUAAAAAAGGAGUAAAACAUACUAUCUUGCACAACUGUAGUGGAGCAGAUAAAUGAAACAUUAUACAUACACCUCAAAAAGUAAUUUUAACCAUUCCAUUUUAAGUAUGCUGUCAUGCCUGGCUAACAAGCACCUAUGGUGCCAUUCAGAAUCCUCAUCCUAAGAAAAAUGAGUACCAUUGGGAAAAACGAGAAGCCAUACAGGGAUAUUUUUAUGGAAUAUAUGAAUUAUGAUAGGGUUGGAUGUUAUAAAUCAUGACAUGUAUGAAAAAUGUUGUUUAUCUCUAAAAGACCAUCUCAUUAAAAUUAUGGAUUUAGACUGAAUGUAAAUGUUAUAAAUCAUGACAUGUAUGAAAAAUGUUUAUCUCUAAAAGACCAUCUCAUUAAAAUUAUGGAUUUAGACCGAAUGUAAUUUAUAGGAUAAACUCAUGUCUCCUACAAAUCUGAACUUCUAAAGUUCUUAAGGUCAUUAGUACACAUUGGUGUUUUUAUACCACCUUUUGAUGAGGGAAUCUAAAGCGCACCAAAAGGCUUCUCCUUCGAGCCGGAUUCGAACCAGCGACCUAAGGAUAUCCAGGAAGUACAACUACAGUCCUCCGCUCUACCAACUGAGCUAUCGAAGGGAGCUGUCAAGGUAGUGAUAAUUUAUGACAUAAGGGAUUGUUUUGUUCUACUUUCUGAUUAAUUGUGGAAAGCAAACAACCACCAGAAGAGUCUUUUAAGGUACUAGAAUAUUGUUUUCACUGGAUUGUCUUACUGUAGUGUCCUGUAUCUUUAGGACAUCCUCCCUCUGUUAAAAGUGGGAGAAAAGAACAUUAUCAUAGACAACACCAUCCUGAAGCAGAGCUAUUGCCCAGUUCAGAGAAAUGCAUGAUUCUCUUUUCUGAAGAAUAAGGGAAGAAAGGUGAAUGCAGCUGUAUCAGACACAAAAUUUGAUAGGCUUUUGAUGUGUUUCAGUUUGGUGUCUGUCACUGUGUUAAAAUACUAUGACUAAAAGCAACUUCGGGAGGAAAGGGUUUAUUUAAGUUAUGCAUCUUGAUUACAUAAGGGAAACCUGGGCAGAAACUCAAGCAAGCAAGCACUUGGAAGCAGAAAGUGAAGCGGAUUAUCAUAGAAGAAUGCUUCUUCCUGGCUUGCACACCAUUGCUUUCCCAUACAACCCAGGUGUCCAGCAGUGGCACUGAGCCAUCCACAUCGAUCAUUAAUCAUGAAAAUUCCCCGAGACUUGCCUACAGGCCAAUCUGAUAGAGGCAUUUUCAAAACUGAGACUCCCUCUUCCAGAUGACUAACGUGUCAAGUUGACAAAAACUAACCAGUACUGCAUGUGGUUAGGAAUGGAGCAGCCCAUGUUAUAUUGAACAAUUAUACUGGAACAAAUAAACAAAACAUUACAAACCUCAGAGAUAAUAAAUUUAAUCAUUUCAUGUUUAUGUUUGGCUAGCGACCACCUAUGGUGCCACUGGCUUCCUGGUGCCUAAUACAGAAAAACGAGUACCAUGGGAAAGCAUAGGAUGCCAUCCAGGGAAACUUUUAUUUAUUUGUUGAAAUUCAUACAUUUUAAAGUUUAUUAGUUAUAAUAGGUGAAGAGAAAAAGUAACAUCUGUGGAAAUCAUUCCAGUAUUUCAACUGUGGAAGAUCAUAACAUUACAAUUAAAGUGUUUUCCCAGUGAAGUCUUGGACUUCAAUUCCUGUUCUAGCGCCAGAGGUGUGUGAAAACGAACCUACUGGGGCUGGUGGAAGAGAAUAUUUGUUCCAGAAGGAAUUUCCUAAAGGAUAGAUUAUCCCAGUUUCUGAAGAACCCGUCAAGACUUUUCUCAUCCGGCUCCUCUGCUCGUCCACUGAAGUUGCCACAUCUUCACAGGUAGAGUGGGCUGAACUGUUUGGUGGCUGAGUGGGCAGCUUCUGGAGGUCUGCGGGUAUGUACAACAUCGAUGUUCCAGAGAGUUUUCGGCUAGGAGUGGAGACUGCAGAGAUCAGGUGGGGAGCUGAGGGAAGGCUGUACGGAGCUGGAGCAGCCUAGGUGCACCAGAAAGCCUCUGAGAAAGAAAAGCCAAAACGCAGACACCAAGAGCAAAAACAAAAACUGCGGAUAUUUACGAGCUCUGCCCAGGUUCUCCUGCUCCAACCUCUCGAGAGCAGUUGCUGGGAUUCCAGCGUGGGUCUCUUCUGCACCCUUCGCCUGUAAUUUUGAGAGACUCCUUCAAUCGUCUUCGCUCGCAGUGGGGAGGAGGAGAGGAACACAAACCUGGUCCCUCUUUUAUUCCCUCACUCGGACCUUUACUGAGAGGACUGCACAUCUUAGGUGUUCGUAGAACUGUCAGAGGUGGGCGGAGUGUGUUGGGGACACACUGUGCAAAAGGGGCUGAACUGAUGAUAGCUUUAUCUGGGAAAUGGUACCCGACGUUUUGCUUUUGGGUAUGCUUGGCAUGGCCUCAUAAAAUUCUUUUUGUGUCAACACUGAUGAUGCCGACCACAGGGAACCCCACAGUGUAUUGCGUAUGUCCUAAUUCCUGGCAAAAAGUCUUUCAAUAGGCUAAGAAGGAAAGUCACGGUAGACAAUUCUCCCUUACACUCCCACCAAAAUGCUCAUCCUUCGAGCCGGAUUCGAACCAGCGACCUAAGGAUACCUCCAAGGCGAAAGAUUCCACUACAGUCCUCCGCUCUACCAACUGAGCUAUCGAAGGUGAUAGUACCCCUGGAAACUGAGAAUUUGGAAAGUUAACACCCAAUCCAGUGUUACUGGAAGCCCAAACUUUGUUCCUGCUGAAGACCUCAUACCGUGUGCAGUCGCGCCAGCAGGUGGAUCUGCAUCUUCGGAAUGGGCUAGCCUUCUGACCCUGUUCCAUGCCUACAUUUCUCAUCAUCAUAAAUAUUGCCAGACUGGGCAGACUGCCCAGUAAGGAGAAAGAAUCUCAAGAGUGGAUAGUACCAGGUCAAGUCUAUGAGAGGAAAAUAGGAAUACAUCUGAGAUUUAAAAUCUCUUAUGUGGUGGGAACUUCUUUCAACAGAAAGUCAUUCUAUUUUUGUCAACCCUGACUGUAAUGAAUAAGCAAAAGUUAAGGUUGGUGUAAAGGGCCUGGAAAGGCCUGUGUGGAGGGUCUAAGAGUCUGGAAAGGCCUAUGUGGAGGGUCUAAGAGUCUGGAAAGGCCUGUGUGGAGGGUCUAAGAGCCUGGAAAGGCCUGUGUGGAGGGUCUAAGAGCCUGGAAAGGCCUGUGUGGAGGGUCUAAGAGUCUAGAAAGGCCUAUGUGGAGGGUC